GUCUGUACCCAAAGACGUUUUAGCYAACCUGCAAAGGAGGCGAGUGCCUAAGGUAUGGGGGAUGAUUGGGGUGAAGUCGUAACAAGGUAGCUGUAGGUGAACCUGCAGAAGGAUCA
RNAcentral lists this ribosomal RNA (116 nucleotides) under uncultured eukaryote. Its description in RNAcentral is "partial small subunit ribosomal RNA". The record is from RNAcentral.